GAUGAACGCUGGCGGCGUGCCUAAUACAUGCAAGUCGAGCGAACGGACGAGAAGCUUGCUUCUCUGAUGUUAGCGGCGGACGGGUGAGUAACACGUGGAUAACCUACCUAUAAGACUGGGAUAACUGCGGGAAACCGGAGCAAAAACCGGAUAAUAUUUUGAACCGCAUGGUUCAAAAGUGAAAGACGGUCUUGCUGUCACUUAUAGAUGGAUCCGCGCUGCAUUAGCUAGUUGGUAAGGUAACGGCUUACCAAGGCAACGAUGCAUAGCCGACCUGAGAGGGUGAUCGGCCACACUGGAACUGAGACACGGUCCAGACUCCUACGGGAGGCAGCAGUAGGGAAUCUUCCGCAAUGGGCGAAAGCCUGACGGAGCAACGCCGCGUGAGUGAUGAAGGUCUUCGGAUCGUAAAACUCUGUUAUUAGGGAAGAACAUAUGUGUAAGUAACUGUGCACAUCUUGACGGUACCUAAUCAGAAAGCCACGGCUAACUACGUG
This 497-nucleotide ribosomal RNA is filed under the name uncultured bacterium. Its description in RNAcentral is "partial 16S ribosomal RNA". It matches the Rfam family "Bacterial small subunit ribosomal RNA", at positions 28 to 507 of the family's 1533-position model. The record is from RNAcentral.